AUGAAGAAUACAUGGGACUGGAACCUGGAGGAGGACAUCAGACGCAAAUGUGCUGGCCUUCAUGAUUCCAGGUCCUGGAAUCAUACCAGCCGAUGGUACCAUAUAACUGGAAUUAACCAAUGCAAGUCGAAGAAUGAUUGGCUAGUGCUGCCGGCUAGCGUCAAGUUCAAUCCCACGGAUCAGGAGCUGAUCGAGCACCUUGAGGCCAAAGCGAGUGCUGACAGCGUGAGAUCUCACCCUCUCAUCGAUUUGUUCAUACCAACCAUCGACAGUGAGCACGGCAUAUGCUACACCCAUCUUGAGAAACUUCCAGGUAUCACAUUGAGUGGCCUAAGCACGCAUUUCUUCCAGCGCAAUUCUAGGGCAUUCAAAAGGGGCACGUGGACGCGUCGCAAGAUACAGUCGGAGUGCGGCAUGCACGCGAUGUGGCACAACACCGGCAAUACCUUGCCGGUGAUGGUCAUCGGCUGGCAGACGGGCAGCAAAAAGUUUCCGGUGCUGCACACCAACAAGAACUUCGACCAGCAGAGGACCAACUGGGUGAUGCACCAGUACCACCUCGGGGACCUGGAGCAAGAGAAGGAGCGGGAGCUGGUCCUCUGCAAGAUUUUCUACCAGACGAACACUAUGGCCAAGAGUAAAAAGAUUAUAAUUUAG
This 657-nucleotide ribosomal RNA is filed under the name Triticum aestivum (bread wheat). RNAcentral describes it as "partial small subunit ribosomal RNA". The record is from RNAcentral. Lineage: Eukaryota; Viridiplantae; Streptophyta; Magnoliopsida; Poales; Poaceae.